This 309-nucleotide ribosomal RNA is filed under the name uncultured bacterium. Its description in RNAcentral is "partial 16S ribosomal RNA". It matches the Rfam family "Bacterial small subunit ribosomal RNA", at positions 504 to 808 of the family's 1533-position model. The record is from RNAcentral.
AGAGACAGCAGCAGCGCGGGAAUACGAAGGGUGCAAGCGUUACUCGGAAUUACUGGGCGUAAAGCGUGCGUAGGUGGUGGUUUAAGUCCGUUGUGAAAGCCCUGGGCUCAACCUGGGAAUUGCAGUGGAUACUGGGUCACUAGAGUGUGGUAGAGGAUAGUGGAAUUUCCGGUGUAGCAGUGAGAUGCGUAGAGAUCGGAAGGAACAUCUGUGGCGAAGGCGACUAUCUGGGCCAACACUGACACUGAGGCACGAAAGCGUGGGGAGCAAACAGGAUUAGAUACCCCUGUAGUCCCUGUCUCUUAUACA